Molecule: long non-coding RNA, 679 nt
Organism: Anguilla rostrata (American eel)
Lineage: Eukaryota; Metazoa; Chordata; Actinopteri; Anguilliformes; Anguillidae
Exons: 2
Source: RefSeq, a predicted model, not a curated record
CGUACGCCCGUUUUUGGUUCUGUAAGUUGGUUUUGCAUAUUAGGACAUAACUAACUCUCAUCUUGUCCUCACCAGAUGCUAACACUAGAUAAAUCAAACCACACAAGGCUUACACACAAAUGUGACUUUAACAUUAUUAUUCAACCAAAAAGCCAACAGGCAGAAGCCAUGUGUGGAAAAAGUGUGCCCGUCCUGCUUCCGUAUCGAUUUAGAAGGAAAUUACGACCAGGUGCAGCUAAUCAAGUACACAUGAUUAGUUGUUCAUCAGACAGUGCCAUCACCUGUGUGUAAAUGCAGAAACUGAGAGUUUGGUCUGGAAUGUUCAGGUUUGUGUUAAAAUAGCAUGCGAUGGACAAACAAAACUGUAUCUAAUGAUCCCAGAGGAGCAAUUGUUGCUACUCGCUAGUCUAUGAAAUGAGCUAAAGCCAUUUCCAAAUGAUAUAAAGUCCAUCGUUCUACAGUAAGAAAGCUGCCAGAGGAAAACACCAUGCAGAGAUACGGUUCUCAGGCGAUUUUAAUACAAACACUUGAGAGAAGACUGACCACACAGCGCUCAAAGUUCUGGAAUGUGGAACAUGCUGUUCACUGACACCAUUGAACACCACAGACCAACACUUCUCCUGCCAGGCAUCAAAACUGAGUGGAGAGUUAAAUAAAACUUGUGUGUAUAUAAAUGCAA